CGAGUGGCGGACGGGUGAGUAAUGUCUGGGAAACUGCCCGAUGGAGGGGGAUAACUACUGGAAACGGUAGCUAAUACCGCAUAACGUCGCAAGACCAAAGAGGGGGACCUUCGGGCCUCUUGCCAUCGGAUGUGCCCAGAUGGGAUUAGCUAGUAGGUGGGGUAACGGCUCACCUAGGCGACGAUCCCUAGCUGGUCCGAGAGGAUGACCAGCCACACUGGAACUGAGACACGGUCCAG
RNAcentral lists this ribosomal RNA (239 nucleotides) under uncultured bacterium. RNAcentral describes it as "partial 16S ribosomal RNA". It matches the Rfam family "Bacterial small subunit ribosomal RNA", at positions 92 to 334 of the family's 1533-position model. The record is from RNAcentral.